UGUGAACAUAAUUUUAUCGUGUAUGUAAUAAUUUACAAUAACACUUUUAACAUAAAAUUUAAGUAUUAAAAGUGUAAAAUGCGUGAUUUUGUAUCAAAAAUGUAUUAUUGACUGAAGCACGUCAUUAUUUUCCAUCUGUGAGCCUCUGACGGUCUGAUAGCUUUUGACUACGUCACAUAGUAACCGGUGUUAUGAUGACGUUUUUG
This 206-nucleotide long non-coding RNA is filed under the name Mytilus galloprovincialis (Mediterranean mussel). Lineage: Eukaryota; Metazoa; Mollusca; Bivalvia; Mytilida; Mytilidae. The record is from RNAcentral.